Molecule: ribosomal RNA, 880 nt
Filed under: Salmonella enterica
Lineage: Bacteria; Pseudomonadati; Pseudomonadota; Gammaproteobacteria; Enterobacterales; Enterobacteriaceae
Also listed under: 2 other names
Description: partial 23S ribosomal RNA
Rfam family: Bacterial large subunit ribosomal RNA
Source: RNAcentral
GUAAACGGCGGCCGUAACUAUAACGGUCCUAAGGUAGCGAAAUUCCUUGUCGGGUAAGUUCCGACCUGCACGAAUGGCGUAAUGAUGGCCAGGCUGUCUCCACCCGAGACUCAGUGAAAUUGAACUCGCUGUGAAGAUGCAGUGUACCCGCGGCAAGACGGAAAGACCCCGUGAACCUUUACUAUAGCUUGACACUGAACAUUGAGCCUUGAUGUGUAGGAUAGGUGGGAGGCUUUGAAGUGUGGACGCCAGUCUGCAUGGAGCCGACCUUGAAAUACCACCCUUUAAUGUUUGAUGUUCUAACGUGGACCCGUAAUCCGGGUUGCGGACAGUGUCUGGUGGGUAGUUUGACUGGGGCGGUCUCCUCCUAAAGAGUAACGGAGGAGCACGAAGGUUGGCUAAUCCUGGUCGGACAUCAGGAGGUUAGUGCAAUGGCAUAAGCCAGCUUGACUGCGAGCGUGACGGCGCGAGCAGGUGCGAAAGCAGGUCAUAGUGAUCCGGUGGUUCUGAAUGGAAGGGCCAUCGCUCAACGGAUAAAAGGUACUCCGGGGAUAACAGGCUGAUACCGCCCAAGAGUUCAUAUCGACGGCGGUGUUUGGCACCUCGAUGUCGGCUCAUCACAUCCUGGGGCUGAAGUAGGUCCCAAGGGUAUGGCUGUUCGCCAUUUAAAGUGGUACGCGAGCUGGGUUUAGAACGUCGUGAGACAGUUCGGUCCCUAUCUGCCGUGGGCGCUGGAGAACUGAGGGGGGCUGCUCCUAGUACGAGAGGACCGGAGUGGACGCAUCACUGGUGUUCGGGUUGUCAUGCCAAUGGCACUGCCCGGUAGCUAAAUGCGGAAGAGAUAAGUGCUGAAAGCAUCUAAGCACGAAACUUGCCCCGA